Molecule: transfer RNA, 82 nt
Filed under: Chloroflexota bacterium
Lineage: Bacteria; Bacillati; Chloroflexota
Also listed under: 1 other name
Description: Chloroflexi bacterium (aquatic metagenome) tRNA-Leu
Rfam family: tRNA
About the family: Transfer RNA (tRNA) molecules are approximately 80 nucleotides in length. Their secondary structure includes four short double-helical elements and three loops (D, anti-codon, and T loops).
Source: RNAcentral
GGGGGAGUGUCGGAAUUGGCAGACGAGCAUGAUUUAGGAUCAUGUGGGGCAACCCGUGCGGGUUCGAGUCCCGCCUUCCCCA